GGUAGCUACGUUCGGAAGGGAUAACCGCUGAAAGCAUCUAAGUGGGAAACCCUCCUCAAGAUGAGACAUCCCGUGCCCCUAGAGGGCACUGAAGGAACCAGGGAGAUGACCUGGUCGAUAGGCUGGAGGUGGAAGCGCGGCAACGCGUGCAGCCGACCAGUACUAAUCAGCCGUGAGGCUUGACCAUAUU
This 190-nucleotide ribosomal RNA is filed under the name Spirochaetae bacterium HGW-Spirochaetae-8. Its description in RNAcentral is "partial 23S ribosomal RNA". It matches the Rfam family "Bacterial large subunit ribosomal RNA", at positions 2744 to 2925 of the family's 2925-position model. Lineage: Bacteria; Pseudomonadati; Spirochaetota. The record is from RNAcentral.